GACGAACGCUGGCGGCGUGCUUAACACGUGCAAGUCGAACGGUAAGGCCCUUCGGGGUACACGAGUGGCGAACGGGUGAGUAACACGUGGGUGAUCUGCCCUGCACUUCGGGACAAGCCUGGGAAACUGGGUCUAAUACCGGAUAGGACCACUGCCUGCAUGGGUGGUGGUGGAAAGCUUUUGCGGUGUGGGAUGGGCCCGCGGCCUAUCAGCUUGUUGGUGGGGUGAUGGCCUACCAAGGCGACGACGGGUAGCCGGCCUGAGAGGGUGACCGGCCACACUGGGACUGAGAUACGGCCCAGACGCCUACGGGAGGCAGCAGUGGGGAAUAUUGCACAAUGGGCGCAAGCCUGAUGCAGCGACGCCGCGUGAGGGAUGACGGCCUUCGGGUUGUAAACCUCUUUCAGCACCGACGAAGCGCAGGUGACGGUAGGUGCAGAAGAAGGACCGGCCAACUACGUGCCAGCCGCCGCCGUAA
This 478-nucleotide ribosomal RNA is filed under the name uncultured bacterium. RNAcentral's name for it is "partial 16S ribosomal RNA". It matches the Rfam family "Bacterial small subunit ribosomal RNA", at positions 28 to 523 of the family's 1533-position model. The record is from RNAcentral.